UCUGCACGUAGCAUCAACGAUGUACUAGAUUGGGGCGCCUGUUAUGCUCCUACAAUACUGCAAAUAAUGCAUCACACUCAAUUGCAAACCUUUCUUCAAAGCUCUAAUUACUAGAUGCAAUUUGGCUAUCUGGAUAUGAAUUAUGGACCCUUUGAAUGAGCACUUCGCAUGUCUUUGUUUGCGUUGCUUAUUAAUGUUUCUUAUGUUCGUAGCGACUAUCGUUUCGAACAUUUCAUUCGCAGCCUGAGAGUGUUGGGAGUCUGGUUCAGUUUUUAAGAACAUAGCGGGGACAUAUCAGAUAGAAACGUGAAGAAAUUUAGAAAACAGUUGAAUCUGUAUCAUGAUAUGGAAAAGAAACUGUGUUCCCAUACGUACGAAAGCUCUCUGACUUCAAACUCUUUCAAGUGGCCGUCAAGUACAUCAGAUAUUGAAAACAAAAGCAAAUGGAAGAAUCGACUUGUGUACCAAAAUCCACAAAGACGCUCACCAAAAAUGGUUGUUGAAACCAGUCAGUGUCUCGUAUUAAACCACCCUUGUUGAACAUCUAAUAUCAUCGCCGAUGGUGACUACAAUCAGUAAACCCAGUUACUAGCACUCAUGUGGCAUCUACAAUUAUAUCCCAGAAUAUUCUAAACCGAAAGCGUAACCUCCACGCUCUUAGCAGCUCUCUGCUGUAAUUGGGGUUUCCCCAUAGUAUGAACAUAUGAUGUCAUGGUAGCCGUGUCUCUGCAUGCCUCGGUGAGAAAAAAACAGGCCCAUAGUCGCCAUAAUGGUCGACAUUGUUCAGAUUUCAGGGUUCCAAGGGUAGGUUUUAUUGCGAAACAAGGUCUUCGUAACCCAAAGACCCAAAGAAAAGAUUCCUCUACCCUCGGUCGCCCUCUCACUCUCACUCUCCCAAACUCUGAGCGCUAGACCAAGAGCUCACAAAAUUUGUAUUACGAAAAAAAGGUGCUAAUCAAGUGAACUAAGCAGGUUAAUGGGGAACACCGCCUCAUCCUGGGAGUCCUGGGUGGAAGCAGGCUCGUGGCUCGGCGUAGCUGCGUAGCUGCGUAGCACGCAGUCAGAGAGGUGGUCAAAGUGCCAAUGCAGACCGAUUCCUG
RNAcentral lists this long non-coding RNA (1100 nucleotides) under Physcomitrium patens. RNAcentral describes it as "long non-coding RNA (PPAT_LNC001291)". Lineage: Eukaryota; Viridiplantae; Streptophyta; Bryopsida; Funariales; Funariaceae. The record is from RNAcentral.